Molecule: ribosomal RNA, 496 nt
Filed under: uncultured bacterium
Lineage: Bacteria
Description: partial 16S ribosomal RNA
Rfam family: Bacterial small subunit ribosomal RNA
Source: RNAcentral
AUGAACGCUGGCGGCGUGCCUAAUACCUGCAAGUCGAGCGAACAGACGAGGAGCUUGCUCCUCUGACGUUAGCGGCGGACGGGUGAGUAACACGUGGAUAACCUACCUAUAAGACUGGGAUAACUUCGGGAAACCGGAGCUAAUACCGGAUAAUAUAUUUAACCGCUUGGUUCAAUAGUGAAAUACGGUUUUGCUUUCACUUAUAGAUGGAUCCUCGCCGCAUUAGCUAGUUGGUAAGGUAACGGCUUACCAAGGCAACGAUUCGUAGCCGACCUGAGAGGGUGAUCGGCCACACUGGAACUGAGACACGGUCCAGACUCCUACGGGAGGCAGCAGUAGGGAAUCUUCCGCAAUGGGCGAAAGCCUGACGGAGCAACGCCGCGUGAGUGAUGAAGGUCUUCGGAUCGUAAAACUCUGUUAUUAGGGAAGAACAAAUGUGUAAGUAACUAUGCACGUCUUGACGGUACCUAAUCAGAAAGCCACGGCUAACUACGUG